CGUAAAUUGAUCGGCAGAAAUAAAAAGUAAUGUAGAUUAAGAUUUUGUUGAUCCAGUUUCACUGAACCAAAUCUAUACAAUACCAAGUAAAUACUCCGAUCGCAACUGAGUUUCAGUGCAGCAGUUAAUGUUAAGUUUAUUAGCUCGGCAUGUUUGACCUUAAAAAUCAGAAACGAUUAAGUAAGAUAUGGAUAAGAUACGUAUUAAAGGGAAGUCAGACUUACGGAUUGUGAAAAAACAUAUCGGGGUCCAUCGGCUUGCCACUUCCUUUGGAUCCAGCCCCACGGAGCCACACAAAUAAA
Drosophila santomea is the source of this 302-nucleotide long non-coding RNA. RefSeq lists it as uncharacterized. The record is from RefSeq and is a predicted model, not a curated record. Lineage: Eukaryota; Metazoa; Arthropoda; Insecta; Diptera; Drosophilidae. The transcript is spliced from 2 exons.